UGGUCGAUGGCGAAGGCGUGCCACGACGGGCUGGCACCCAGUCCCGGAUCGGCGAAUGUACUGAGGUGCCGGAUCGGCACCGUCUUGGCCAAC
RNAcentral lists this transfer RNA (93 nucleotides) under Mycobacterium stomatepiae. Its description in RNAcentral is "tRNA-Ala". Lineage: Bacteria; Bacillati; Actinomycetota; Actinomycetes; Mycobacteriales; Mycobacteriaceae. The record is from RNAcentral.